AAAGCUCGUAGUUGAAUUUCUGGUCGCGGGCAUCGGUCGGCUCCUCACGGAGUNUGUACUAUGUGUNUGCANCCAUCCUCGGGGAGAGCAUAUNUGGCAUUAANUUGUCGGGUAUGGGAUCCUCGUCAUUUACUGUGAGCAAAAUAGAGUGUUCAAAGCAGGCUUAGGCCGUUGAAUAUAUUAGCAUGGA
Molecule: ribosomal RNA, 190 nt
Filed under: uncultured heterokont
Lineage: Eukaryota
Description: partial 18S ribosomal RNA
Source: RNAcentral